This is a long non-coding RNA of Salvelinus namaycush (lake trout), 187 nucleotides long. RefSeq lists it as uncharacterized. Lineage: Eukaryota; Metazoa; Chordata; Actinopteri; Salmoniformes; Salmonidae. The transcript has 3 exons. The record is from RefSeq and is a predicted model, not a curated record.
CAGAGUAGUGCAUUACAUCCUACACCACACCCAUAUCAACACAGGAGAGAACCUCAGAGAGCUCCAGGAGAAGGGUGUCUUUGAGGCCACAUUCUGCCUGCAUGAGAGGAACAAGCAAAAGGUGUUGAAACAAAAGUGGGCACGAUGGUCUGCUCUCUGUACCACCCAGCCUGUCGAUGAUGUCAGG